AUCAACUCAAACAAAUUUGCAACAAAUAAAUAAAACAAAAAAAUAAAUUCAACUAAAAAAAUUCAUAUGAAAAAAAAUAAAGUUGCAAUUGCUAAAAAUUUAAAAAUCCUAUAAAUAAAUGAACUAAAAAUUGAUCUCAUAUGAAAAAAAAAUCUCACAACAACAUUUAUACAAUUAUUAAGAACAAAAACAAUUAAAAAUAAAAUAAAAAAAAAUAUAGUGAAAAAAGUCAUGAAAACAGAAGAAAAAAGAAAAAUCUUACCUUAACGUAGUUGCAAGUGAAGCUAAGGAGAGAGAAAAAAUUUCGUUAAGCAUAUUAAUUAAAAAAAAACUAAGAGGAUAAAAGAAGAAAGAAGAA
Molecule: long non-coding RNA, 358 nt
Filed under: Populus trichocarpa (black cottonwood)
Lineage: Eukaryota; Viridiplantae; Streptophyta; Magnoliopsida; Malpighiales; Salicaceae
Description: long non-coding RNA (PTRI_LNC000896)
Source: RNAcentral